This 1580-nucleotide long non-coding RNA is filed under the name Macaca fascicularis (crab-eating macaque). RNAcentral describes it as "lncRNA (ENSMFAG00000051531.1)". The record is from RNAcentral. Lineage: Eukaryota; Metazoa; Chordata; Mammalia; Primates; Cercopithecidae.
CAUAGAAUGGAGAAUCAUAGAGGUCACCUUAUGUCCAUUCUUACUAGUGAGUUCAGUUUUUCCUUUACUCACUGACAAAAGGUAGGUAGUCAAUCAAAAAUUCCUUCAGUCAGCAAACACUGAGUAAGAAACUUAUUACCUACUUAGCUCAUCUCGGGUCAAGUGCCCAUCUCUGAACCAUUCAAUUGUAAUGAGAAAGGUAAGGGUCAUGAUGUAUGAACUUAGCUUUGAUCAUCGCAAUUAGGAUGAGGAUGAGGGGAGGGGAGGGGACAUUUCUUAGGUGUUGCUAAGAAGCAGUUCCAUAGGUAUCCAAUGUAGCACACAUGGUGAUUUUUUUUUCAGAUAUCCAGAUGGAUGAAUUUUCUAUAAGGUUUCAAAGAUAACAUUUGUAUUCUCUGUCUGGUCUUGCAUUUGUAGUGGGUUCUCAAAAACAAUAGCAUUGUCUUCUCUCUAGUCUUCCUUCCCUUAAUGAUCUCAUCCAUUAUCAUGACAACAGAAAUUGUAACUCCUCCAUGUAUUUCUUGGGGAAGAUCUCUUUUCCUGGGCAUGAAAGCAUGAUGAAAAGUAUAUAGAUGAGGGUGUGAGAAGUGAAGAUUGGCAAAGGACAAAGUUCUGGGGAAGAACAAUAUUUGGUGCACCUUUUGUCAAUUGGUGAUAGCUGCCCAGAUCAUUUUAUUGUGAAGAAUUCUCAUUCUAUAUCUAGCCUCUGGAACAGUUGUAGGGGAAAGGGAGAGAGAUGAAGAUCAGUUGUGCCAUAUAUUUGAACCACUUAAUUGUCAUCUCAAAUGAAAAAGCUGUGUCGAGGGAGACAAGCUAGUAAAGGAGAUGGAUAUAGAAAAAUUAGGUAGAACAGAAUUAAAAUAAGGCCGGGUCAAGGAAAAACACUCUUAUGGCAUGAAGGAAGUUAAUGAUAUAACACCUAAAAGUCUAAAAGUGAUCAAGCAUGAUAAUGUCAAAUAAUAUGUCUUUUUGUAUUGGCAAGUAAGUCAUUGAAAAUAGCUUUUGUGGAGUAUUGAUUGUGCAAACCUACUACGAGAGGAUUGAGAAGCUAAUGGAUGAUAAGAAAAUGUAGACAACAAUUGUAGUCUAUUAAAGGAGCUGCCUGUAAGUGAGAAGGAGAGGCAGUGGCUAGACUGGUGUACAAAGUUCAGAAAGUUGUAAUUUUUAGCAAGACAGAGGCAAGCUAGAGAUGUUUCACAUCUGCUGAGUGAAAAAUGAACUAUAAUCUUUAUUAUGAGAUUGUAAUAGCUAAAAAAUUGGAAAUGACAUACAUACCCAUCAAUUUUUUUAAAGAUAAAUUUUGUAUAAUUAUAUAAGGAAAGUGGAUUAAUAAUACUUUUUAAGUUAGUUGGGAGGUAUUCAUUAUACCAGGUAAAUCUUUAUUCCUUUUGUUUGUCUGAAAUAGUUUGCUAUGAAUUAAAACAAUUAUUUUUUGUUUUUAAAAUAAGAUAAAAUAAAUCAAGUAUUUAUAAUUCUUAUAAGAAGAGAAGCAGUGAGCCACCUCUAUUCCUACCUGGAAUUCUACUUCUUAGAUGUCAACGUGUGCAAGUCUUAGUCUUGUUCUUUUAGAAUUUACCCCA